Molecule: ribosomal RNA, 497 nt
Filed under: uncultured bacterium
Lineage: Bacteria
Description: bacterial SSU rRNA
Rfam family: Bacterial small subunit ribosomal RNA
Source: RNAcentral
CCUUGGAUCAGGAUGAACGCUAGCGGCAGGCCUAACACAUGCAAGUCGAGGGGUAACAUAGAAGAGCUUGCUUUUCUGAUGACGACCGGCGCACGGGUGCGUAACGCGUAUGCAACCUACCUCUUACUGGAGGAUAGCCCGAAGAAAUUCGGAUUAAUACUCCAUAGUAUUUCUUUCUCACCUGAGAUUGAAAUUAAAGGUUACGGUAAGAGAUGGGCAUGCGUCCUAUUAGCUAGAUGGUAAGGUAACGGCUUACCAUGGCUACGAUAGGUAGGGGGCCUGAGAGGGUGAUCCCCCACACUGGUACUGAGACACGGACCAGACUCCUACGGGAGGCAGCAGUGAGGAAUAUUGGGCAAUGGAGGCAACUCUGACCCAGCCAUGCCGCGUGCAGGAAGACGGUCCUAUGGAUUGUAAACUGCUUUUAUUUGUGAAUAAACUCCGGUACGUGUACCGGCCUGAAUGUAGCAAAUGAAUAAGCACCGGCUAACUCCGUG